Molecule: ribosomal RNA, 255 nt
Filed under: uncultured bacterium
Lineage: Bacteria
Description: partial 16S ribosomal RNA
Rfam family: Bacterial small subunit ribosomal RNA
Source: RNAcentral
CACGUAGGGGGGCGAGCGUUGUCCGGAUUUAUUGGGCGUAAAGAGCUCGUAGGCGGCUCAGUAAGUCGGGUGUGAAAACUCCAGGCUCAACCUGGAGACGCCACCUGAUACUGCUGUGGCUAGAGUCCGGUAGGGGAGCAUGGAAUUCCUGGUGUAGCGGUGAAAUGCGCAGAUAUCAGGAGGAACACCAGUGGCGAAGGCGGCCAUCUGGACGGAUACUGACGCUGAGACGCGAAAGCGUGGGUAGCAAACAGG